CGUCCCGAUCAGUCAUUCAGAAUUCAUAUACCCGCAGUUACAUAAGUAACCCCCAGUUUCAAAUCAGGCCUUCAGACAACAAACCUCACAGGUCCAGUUUGUACAGGAGGGUUUUACAAUCUGAAUUCCCAUCAAACCAUGUGAACGCUCAGGUGACGUGGAUCACUCAUAACCUAAAACACUGAGGUCUGCUGUGCGACUCAACAAUGGUGGCUGCGCCGCGUUUUGUCCAAGGGCCUUGACAACAGCAAAAUGGGGGGGAAAUGAACUUCAAAUUGAGUCCCACGAGAACUAGAGAAGCCAAAUAGUCAGGUCCAGAAGUAUUUGGACAGUGAUGAUUUUGGAAUCUGUGCACCAAAUCAACGUGCCUGUAGAGGAGAUUUUCAGCUUUAAUUCAAAGGGGUUUAACAAAAAUUAGGAAUUAUAUCUAUUUAUAUGCAUAGUCUCUCAAUUUUCACAACCAACUGACUGCAUGGGGGGUGGUCAAGUGGUUAGUGGACUUUCUCCAUAUAAUGUGGCGUUGUGUCAGGAAAGGCAUCCGGCAUAAAACUUGCGUCGAAUCAACUUGCAGAUCCACCCUGGAGUUACAGGCUUCUGUGGCUGUGAUGAAAACAGUGAUGGUGCAACUUUUGUCUGUUGCAUCACUGGUCACAGUUUCGUGGCGGGGUGUUGCACAGGAGGACAUUUAUACAAGAAAGCAGAUUAAAUGAAGGCUCCGGUUUCAGAUGCCUCAGAUCCCAGACCUUCUGGGAAACUGCAGCUGAAAUUUCACACCUUCUUUUUCAGAAAAGCCUUCUCUAUUACGCUUUAAAUUUAAGCUGUGACUGGUGAUGCCACAGAUAGCAUUGCACUAUGCACAAUUUCUCAAAAUUGCCAUGGGUGUCUUGGUGGCUCCCCUCACUAGUAUUCCUUGCAUGGUCUGUCUGUUUUUGACAAAUGUCUACUUCAGACAGAUUUACCAUAGAGUACUGCACUGUUUGUAUUUCUUAAUGAUUGUUGUAAAUGAAGUCCAAGACACAUUUGGUUAUUUGGAAGUCUUCAUGUAUCCAUCCCCUGGCUCAUCAAAAGAAAUUGAUUUGUUUUUGUUUGUUUGUUUGUUUGUUUUUAAUUAUUGAUUUAAAAAUCCUUAGUAUAACUUCUGGACAAAUAAAGGAAUGUAUAUAAAAAGUGUUUGUAAUUCCUAAAUGGGUAACAAGAGUUAGUUUUGUUAAACUCUUUGAAUUAAAGAUGAACAUCUUGGUUGCUUCAUUUGGACUUGAAUGUGGAGGCAAGAUUCCCCCCCC
Long non-coding RNA from Thalassophryne amazonica, 1283 nucleotides. RefSeq lists it as uncharacterized. The transcript is spliced from 3 exons. NCBI's taxonomy places the organism in Eukaryota, Metazoa, Chordata, Actinopteri, Batrachoidiformes, Batrachoididae. The record is from RefSeq and is a predicted model, not a curated record.